RNAcentral lists this long non-coding RNA (4637 nucleotides) under Homo sapiens (human). Its description in RNAcentral is "HSALNT0231345". Lineage: Eukaryota; Metazoa; Chordata; Mammalia; Primates; Hominidae. The record is from RNAcentral.
UGCUGGAAAAAAAGGAGGGGAAAACCGGAGCAGAAAUAAUUGCUGGAGCUUCCAGUGAGCUGAGAGAGCCUGCAGGCAGAGAUCAACGGGCCUGAUUUCAUCCUCUUCCUUUUAUUUCUAUAACCUUAAACGUUCUGCUAUUAUAAAAGUCAUCAUGUCAGCUUUCUCUCCAGCCUCUCCAGCUGCCCAUUUUCAAAUUGUAUCAAUUGGUAUUAUGGCAAAUUGCAAGAGAAUAACAUUUGUCAUGAAUCUCCUGGCUACAGUGGGCGAAGAGGAGUCUGAUUCUUGGCAGUCGUCUAAGUUCUUGAGGUUCUUGGUGACCAUUGGCUUCAAAACAGGACAACUAAGUAAUAAGAGCUUCACAGAGAGAGCGGGCCCUCACAUGGGCCCCUGUAAUCCACCACUUUUUAAAAAUAGAUUCAGAGGGUGCAUGGGCAGGUUCGUUACAUGGGCGUACUGCGUAAUGCUGGAGUUUGGGUGUCUAGCGAACCCAGCACCUGAAUAGCAUCACUCACCACUUUCGAAGUGGCAAGGGCUAAGAAACAAGGGCUGUGCUGGCCUUUUUAGCUGGAGGACUGCAUAAGCAGUACGAAAUAAGCAUAUUUUAAAAAUACAAGCAUAAACUGCCGAUGUCAGCAAGUACACAGGUUUGCAGGGAGAGCUGACGCAUCCUGUGGCGGGUGCUCUAGAGAGCGCGUUAUUAAAAUGUUCGGGCGGAUGGUGGGAGGGCUGCGGAACAAAUACCGACUUCCACAGUCCUCUCCACGCAUCGUCCAACGGGAACGCUGGAAUAAAUGACCUGCUGACUUUGUCAUGCAAAAAGAUGUGGCCCCAUCCAGCCAUCCCGCACCGUCCCCAUCGAGGCAGAAGAUAGUAACCAAGAAGGAAGCCAAGGAGUGGCGGAAGAAGUUAAACCAGACACACAGAAAGAGAUGAGGCUCUCCACCAGGCCCCCAGAUGAUCCUCUUUGGAGACAGAUUGGAGCUGUGGAAGACGCAGGAGGGGGAGGCACGAGGGAGGCUGACAGGAAGUGAGGAUUCGAAACUUCAAAUACAAACAUUAUGAAAAACAAGCAACAUCUGCAAACAACACUCUUGCUCAGGCACUUCCUGGACAGUUGGAUAUAACUGAGCAAUCUCCGUGCAACGGGAAACCAGAAAAGCCCAACUUUCAGCAGGCUUAAUAUUUGGAUAAUCCUGCAUAAUGAUUUCAGGGUUAAGUCACAGAAUGCUCUAUCAGCUUCUCUAUGCAUACUAGGUGCCCAGACUGCUGGGUGACCUGCUUUGGGGGAGAAAAAGCGAGGGUGGGGGGAAGAUCCCUCUGUGUAAACAAACAAUUUUUUGCUGCCUUGGCAAAAUGUAAACAGAACCCACGCACCUUGCCCUGGGGAUCAGCCUGGCAAGAUCUAGUUUGACAGAACUUGCUGCACAGCGUCUCCUCGACGUCCUGGAAAUUCUAGAGGGAAAAAUAACGCACGAGUUGCUGCUGUCUGUGCCUUGUGGAAUCUUAAGUAGAAUGAAACAGGCCCCCGACAAUCAAUAUUACUGACAAAUAAAUUAAUCUCGGCAAAUAAACUGUUGUUAGCUUCAAGGCUGUCCCAGUACCCAGAAUAAUUGCUUAAAUGAAGCUGAGGCCUUUUCACCAGUUUGCAGCUAUUUUUUCUGGUCAUCUACCUGUGGGUAGCACUCAGGUUGUCCAGAGGGAAUUGGUUUUAUAAAAUAAAAUCAUACAGUGGCCCUGACCUUGCUCCAUUAGCUCCCUCAGUGCUAGAGCUCUGUCCUGGCUUCAGAACAAACACUUUUGCCAAAUGCUGAGAAGAUGCCUGCCCUUCACCUACCUUGAGGGAGGCAGGAGGCAAGAGAGAAGUAGGCAGUGAUUGUCUACAUUGCUGCCCAAACCCUUAAGUUUAGCAGAAGUAGUUUGGAAGCUUGGGGUAAGCAAGGCACUCAAUGUCAAGAUUGCAAAAUUCUAGUUUUUCUUAAGGAAUAUAAAGGGCACAUAUACUCCUGUGACUUCCAAGAUCCCUAAGUUUGUGUGGGAGGAGUUGGGGGAGGGGGGUUCAUAUCUAGAGGUAAAACUCACCCAGUCUGCACCACUAUUAAAUAUUGGUCUGCUUUGUGCCAGUUGAAACAUAGUCAUCGCCCCCCUCCCCAAGCCCUCUGCUGCCCACAGCUCUGGCCUUUCCUCAGAACUUCCUCCCCUUUCCUUAAUUCAGCACCUAAAGGGUUAAUAUCUAAGGCAGCAGGAACUCCCAGCACCCCGACCCCAGUGCUGAUUGGUGGCGGUGGGGGGGUGGUCAGUGCCAGCAGUGGCUAAAUAUUUUGACUCUACCCCUAGCUCACAUCCUCAUGGGUGCCCCAGCCUGAUGUCAUUUGGCCUGUCCUGGGUUCUCAUGCCGUGACCCUCUGCAGUGCCUCUUCCUGGGAGUGAGAAAGACAGCAGAUGGAUCAGCUUUUCUGAGCUCAUCCCUUGUUAGAAUUACAGUUCCAGCUAGUCUAGGAUCUGAGACACUCAGGAAUAGCAGGCGAAACAGGCGAGACAUUUCCCAAGUCACAAAGAGUACACAGCCACAGAAAUCAACAGUCACAAGGGUCUAAUUGUCAUUAGCAUGUAAAUUUUAAAAGCUCAGUCAAAAAUAUCAAUACCUCCCACUUAAUUUAUUACUAUAUAAAGAUGGAUGGGAGUGAAGCAUAGCAUUGAUUUUCAGAGCCCUUAAAAAGAAGGGGGAAGAAAAUAGAGACAACACAAAAUGCCGUGCCUCCAAAUUAAUCAACGUGCUUUUUAAACACACACACACGCACACACACAAAUCCUGUACCAACAGCCUGUGCAGUUCAAUCUUAUUUGAUUGCCUUUUCUGAAAAUGAAGAAAUGGAAUAGGCCAUUUAUGUAAAGAGCCCUCUCAGAAUGGAUUAUAUGUAAAGACAGGUUAGCAUUUUUACUGUAUCGACAGCAAACCAUUAGGCAGCCACACUCCAGCCCAGCCACUGAGAGGAAAUCGAAGAGAAGAGUUCCCUGGCCGGGCCAGGCAGGACAGCCUAUCAGCUCCUGGUCACUGUCACUGAUCAUCCCAGCCCAGGCUGCGGCUCUUCUCCCCGCAUGGCAUGACGACGCCAUCACCCUCAUAGUUACCAAAGUGUUAGAAUAGUCGUGACCACUAAAAAGUAAGUAAAUUCAUCACCAGGUUGAAAACUGUGCUGGAGAGCCUAUAAUCUGGGAAUAGUGUUUGUGUCUGAAAUCACACAGAGAUCAGAGCAAAAUUGUCCCGUGUCAUGAGAAGAUGGGUCACCCCUCUGCAUUUGACAUUUUGAGAUGUUUGCAUCUGUACAGAGGGAGAAAGAGGGCUGGAGAGAAACGACUGCAACGAGAGCAAAAAGGAAAAACAGUAAAGACGUUAGAGACAUUCAUUUUGGAAACACCCUCACGUUACAGAGCACCCAACGAAUACUAUGAAAAGUGGUCAUUAUCAGCCCGGCAAACACUGCUGUGCCGUCUUGCUUGCGAGGAAUGCUGCUGCAUGGGUUUCAAGACAAGAAUCCAGGCUGAAUCAGCAGUGCGGUUUCAACAGUGAUGAGAACAAGUAACUAAGAUCUCUUCUUCCCUUAUUGCUGCAGAAGAGCAAUUAAGGCUGCAUAUUUAGAGAUGAUAUCAGCCAGGAAUCCUGCACAGAGAGAAAAACUCGUUGCAUUUUUUUCUUUCUUCCUUUCCCCGUUCCCUUUUCUGUCCAAAGGAAACCCACAGCAAACUGCGUAAAUGCCGCAGGCACGCAAGCCGACUCCAAACCGCCUACCAAGGGUCAGCUCUACCUGCAGCUGUUGCACAAAAUAAAAUCAACGCAGCCCACCCCAGGCAAACACCCUCUGUGGCUCUUUAUUACCAAAUGAUAUGAACUUUGACCCAACCUGAACAAAAUUUAAUAUUUUCUCCCAAAUAUUUAAAAAAUUCAUUCUGGGGCUUGAGUGGAGUCAGGGAGUCUGCGAGCCGUAAUUUGACAUCUGAAUUAUUCUGAGGCUAAUACGGAAAGCUAUUCAGGAGCUUAUUUGGAGAUGUGUCAAUCAAGAUAUCACUUGUACAGGGAAGAUGGACUCAGGCUUAGGAGUGCAGAUAGCUUUCAGGGAAUCACAAAAUAAAAACCAGGCAGGCUCUGAUGAAUACGUUACGUCUUCAUUCUUGAUGAUGACAUUUUUUUUUUCUUGAUAGAGAGUACAGACCUAACAGAGCGAUGUCUCAGGGACGUGCCUUUUUCCACACCUGUGAAAACAUUUUAACGUUUAUUUAAAAUGAUAACCAUAAACAACAAACAUGGUGUCGAAACUCGCCUCUGUUCAUUUUACUGCGCUGAUUAAGAUUUUAAGCAACGCUUCUAAAUUAGACUGUCAGGCAGCCAUCCUCAAUGCAGGGUUGAGGUUCUGAUCUCGAGCUAGCUUGUGUGAACACACGGCCUUUCUGGGUUGAUUGUGAGCCUGGCCAGCAGCCUUCAAUGUUCUUUCAUUCAUUUUCGAUGAGACGGGGAGGGAUUCAAUUAGCCCUGAUUGUCCAUGAGAUGUGGCCCAAAAUAAAACCACUGGGCUCUGAUAGCCUCCUCUCAAGGUAUUUCCCAGCUGACAGGUAACAAUGUUAAUUACCCAUUAUUAUGA